UGGGGAAUCUUGCACAAUGGGCGAAAGCCUGAUGCAGCGAUUCCGCGUGGAGGAUGAAGCAUUACGGUGUGUAAACUCCUUUUCUGGUGGAAGACGAAUGACGGUACACCAGGAAUAAGGGACGGCUAACUACGUGCCAGCAGCCGCGGUAAUACGUAGGUCCCAAGCGUUAUCCGGAUUUACUGGGCGUAAAGUGUCCGUAGCCCGACAAUCAAGUCUGUUUUCAAAUACCUUGGCUCAACCGAGGGAAGGGAAUAGAUACUGUUUGUCUAGAGAAUAUUGGAGGUUAGUGGAAUUUCCGGUGGAGCGGUGAAAUGCGUUGAUAUCGGAAAGAACGCCGAAAGCGAAAGCAGCUAACUAUGAUUAUUCUGACGGUGAGGGACGACAGCUUGAGUAGCAA
RNAcentral lists this ribosomal RNA (400 nucleotides) under uncultured bacterium. RNAcentral describes it as "bacterial SSU rRNA". It matches the Rfam family "Bacterial small subunit ribosomal RNA", at positions 355 to 771 of the family's 1533-position model. The record is from RNAcentral.